Molecule: ribosomal RNA, 253 nt
Filed under: uncultured bacterium
Lineage: Bacteria
Description: partial 16S ribosomal RNA
Rfam family: Bacterial small subunit ribosomal RNA
Source: RNAcentral
UACAGAGGGUGCGAACGUUGCUCGGAAUUACUGGGCGUAAAGCGCGUGUAGACGGGGUCGCAAGUCAGAUGUGAAAGCCCCGGGCUCAACCCGGGAACUGCAUCUGAAACUGCGAUCCUUGAGUGUCGGAGAGGGUAGCGGAAUUCCUGGUGUAGAGGUGAAAUUCGUAGAUAUCAGGAGGAACACCGGUGGCGAAGGCGGCUACCUGGACGACAACUGACGCUGAGACGCGAAAGCGUGGGGAGCAAACAGG